UGAGGAAUAUUGGUCAAUGGACGAGAGUCUGAACCAGCCAUCCCGCGUGCAGGAUGACGGCCCUAUGGGUUGUAAACUGCUUUUCUGCGCCAAGAAACCCACCUACGUGUAGGUGGUUGACGGUAGCGCAGGAAUAAGCAUCGGCUAACUCCGUGCCAGCAGCCGCGGUAAUACGGAGGAUGCAAGCGUUAUCCGGAUUCAUUGGGUUUAAAGGGUGCGCAGGCGGGCUUGUAAGUCAGUGGUGAAAUACUGCCGCUCAACGGUAGAACUGCCAUUGAUACUGCAAGUCUUGAAUAUGGUUGAGGUAGGCGGAAUGUGUCGUGUAGCGGUGAAAUGCAUAGAUAUGACACAGAACGCCAAUUGCGAAGGCAGCUUACUAAGCCAUUAUUGACGCUGAGGCACGAAAGCGUGGGGAGCGAACAGGAUUAGAUACCCUGGUAGUCCACGCCGUAAACGAUGUUCACUCGCUGUCUGCGAUACACAGUAGGCGGCUGAGCGAAAGCAUUAAGUGAACCACCUGGGGAGUACGAUCGCAAGGUUG
RNAcentral lists this ribosomal RNA (541 nucleotides) under uncultured Bacteroidota bacterium. RNAcentral describes it as "bacterial SSU rRNA". It matches the Rfam family "Bacterial small subunit ribosomal RNA", at positions 355 to 896 of the family's 1533-position model. The record is from RNAcentral. Lineage: Bacteria; Pseudomonadati; Bacteroidota.